This is a long non-coding RNA of Cydia strobilella, 564 nucleotides long. RefSeq lists it as uncharacterized. The record is from RefSeq and is a predicted model, not a curated record. Lineage: Eukaryota; Metazoa; Arthropoda; Insecta; Lepidoptera; Tortricidae. The transcript is spliced from 3 exons.
ACUGACACAUAGGGUCAUGUUUAUUGUGUCAAUUUGUUUGUAUAAAUUGAAAAUUAUAGCAACGUCUAAAUUAAGUUACAAAAAUCAUCGGUGUUCUGGUCCGCGAAAAUCCAGAAAAAUUCAGACUCAAUUGAAGCGGAAUUCAUGAUGGUGUAGUUUCGAAAGGUAUUGUGCAAAAUGAAGAGGCAUUCUUGGAAAUAAAAUGUUUUCCUUCAUUAGCCAGAAAAAAUCAGGACAUCCUCACUGCAAUAAAGUAAAAUAAAACAUUUCCUGGGGAUGAAAAUUAUGGAAUUUUGUCUAUGAAUGAAAAACACAAUUAUUACUAGGUACAGGGACAACUACGGAUAACAAAUAUGAAAAAAUGUUAUUUCAUUUGUUGUGUGAUUCCAUCUACACCAACAAGACAUCCACUGCUGGACAUAGGCCUCCCCAGGGAUCUCCACAACUACUGGUCUUGCAAGACCGGCCAAAAUAUCGAGAAAUAAAUAAUAUAAAUAAACAUGAUAAAUAUCCCGUUUUCUAUAAUAGUUAUAAUUAGAAGGCCAUGCAAUGUUGUUACUUAUU